Molecule: long non-coding RNA, 198 nt
Organism: Galeopterus variegatus (Sunda flying lemur)
Lineage: Eukaryota; Metazoa; Chordata; Mammalia; Dermoptera; Cynocephalidae
Exons: 2
Source: RefSeq, a predicted model, not a curated record
UGGGGCGGUGGUGGCGGUGAGUGGAGGUUCCCGGCCGUGGGGUGCGGUGGAGGCGGGACCGUGCGUGAUACAUAUGGAGCACCCAGGACAGGGGGCCAGCACCAUUCCAGAUUGGAUACCGCAGUGACGAGGACCUUCAUAAAGCUAAUUUUAUUGUGUGGGGAGAGAGAUGAUAAAUAAAGAAAUAAGUUACUUCUA